Molecule: ribosomal RNA, 160 nt
Filed under: uncultured bacterium
Lineage: Bacteria
Description: partial 16S ribosomal RNA
Rfam family: Bacterial small subunit ribosomal RNA
Source: RNAcentral
UGGGGAAUAUUGCACAAUGGGGGAAACCCUGAUGCAGCAACGCCGCGUGAGUGAAGAAGUGAUUCGUUAUGUAAAGCUCUAUCAGCAGGGAAGAAAAUGACGGUACCUGAGUAAGCAGCCCCGGUUAACUACGUGCCAGCAGUCGCGGUAAUCGCUCUGU